UCCCCGCCACGGCUCGGAGCUGGGGGUCGGCAGUGCGGGCGGGGGCGAACGCGAUCGCGGAGGGGAACGGGGCUCUCCGCGCCGAGUAUGCGUCCUGCGGCGGUCUGCUUUUCUCGGGCUCGGGUUAAAUCGCUCUGUAAGUCUGUCUUGAGUCCGCAGCUAGUGGCCCACUCCGCUGUCUCUUCCUCCUGUUGCAGGUCUGUUUCUGGCUCUCUGCCCUCUUGGGUCCACGCGUCCGCCAGCACACACGCGCAAUCUGGAGUGUACGUGACUGAAGGUUAAUCAAGGUUAAUCAUCAGAGGUUCCUGUUGUGGUUCGAUUAAAUUGUCCAAGGCUCUGCCAACACAACUCUUCCCUCUUUAGCAAAUAACUGAGAUGGGACUAGUGGGUUUAAAAGGGUUGCAGUUCCCCAGUGCCUGGUCCAGGCGGCAUCAGUGUGUAUGGGAGAAUGGGCGAGAUAUUCCGAGGUGCUAAAUGGGACAGGUUAGGAGAAAAAUGAUUUCAAUGGAGAAGUAGUUUGCUUUUGACCGCCAAAACUCUGCAGUCAGAAACACCCCAGAAGUAUCUUGACUUACUAGGUAAAUCUAAGUGUGUGGAUGACAAAGUAAGAUAUAUAAAAGCAGCUUGAACAAGGCUUUCACUUUGAAGGUCUGACUUUAUUCGAAAGCAGCCCCAUGUACCUCUUGUGUUAUGCGUCUGUAUGCUGUAUUCUUACUGAUUGAAAAUACACUUCACCAACAGAUGGUCGUUUAUGGUUUGAAAAAAAAAUCAAGCAAAAACAAAUCUAAAUCUAGAUUAGCAUGACUAGGCAAGCCAUUGCAUAUGUAUACUCAUUUUUUUAGUUUCAGUAGGCAAUCCUUAUUAUAUAAUGCUUAUUCAGCUCUACAAAUAGAAGCUUCAUUGCAGGAUAUUUAUGGUCUAUGCAACUAGCAGUGGAAUUCUGUAUUAUAAAUCAUUCAAUUUCAAAAAAUAGCAAGAUAUUUAAAGAGAAAAAGUAAUGUUACUCUUGUUCUUAGGACUGAACCUACUUUAUUACCCUAAAAUGAAGUUCCAGGUGUAUUUAUUUGUUAUGUAUAAAACAUUACUGCCAUUCACAGAGUACUGUAUUCCAGGACCUUUAUCAAGCUCUAUGUGCAUGCUCUAAUUUGAACCCCACCAAUCCUUUGAAGUAAGUGUUAUACCAAUAGUGUGGAUGCAGAAAUGAAGACUCAGGUUAAGUAACUUGGCGAAGCAGAUUCUGGAUUGUCAGGCAACAGAGUGCAUCCUCAGAGAUGACCAUCCUACUUGUAUUCAUUUGUAAGUGGUUUGAUUAUAUUAGGCCUGGAAACUUUUAUUUAUAUGCCACUAAAAAUAGUCAGGAUAAGAAACAGCCCUCCAGAGGACAUUUUAUGUAUCAUUGUUUGUGUCCCAAAUUUUGAGAGAUAGCAGUUGGGGUGUAUGGGGAGAUGAUUCUAAGUGCUAUGGUGGAAGGUGGUAGAAAGUGACCUCAAGAUAAUUAUGUAAAGAGCCAGGCACAGUGCAACAUGCCUGAAAUCCUAGUAACUCAGGAGGCUGAGGCAGUAGGAUUGCAAGACCAAAGCUAGCCUCAGCAAUUUAGUGAGGGCUCAAAUAACUUAGUGAGACCCUGUCUCAAAAUAAAGUAUAAAAAUGCGUUGGGGAGAUGGCUCAGUGAUUAGACCCCCCUGGGUUCAAUCCCUUAUAUCAAAUAAUAAUAAUAAUGUAAAGAUCAUGACUGAAGCUCAACUAUAAGGAACAGAAUGAGUAGUCCAAGCAGUAUUUCUUUCUAAGCAUUUCUUUAAAGACGAGUUGGAUAUCUAUUAUUAAUCAGGACCAUAAUAAAAUAGCAGAGUAUUUAUGUUAUAGUUAUAACCCCUUAGUGAUUGUGAAAUUCAUUUAGUGUGUCAUGAUGGGUGUUUUAAAAAAUAAAACAUUAGAAAACAUCAGAAUACAUUGCCCAAUGUAAGUAAUGUGUAUUGUUUUGUGAAAUUUUGGUUUUAUUUAUGUGUGUAUGUGUAUGGAUGCACAAGUAUCCAUUGUCAAGUCACAAUAUAAAAGGAAUUUCUUUGGUUGCUAUUGGAAAAGCUCGAAAUACAUUGUGAUAGGAAAAUACAGAACUUAAGAAGCCAGAUGCCAGCUGUAAAAGAAAGAAAAAAAUGUGUUUGGAGUCAGUGAUAACUCAUUUAUUCCACAAUAAUUUCUUACAUGUUUUGAGCAUCAAAUGUAUUUAUAACAACUGCCUAAAACUGGAAGGGGACAAAUUAGGCCCUUUGCUCUGGGUGCAGUUUAUAAUCUAGUAGGAAAGAGAAUUUGGAAUGGGGAAUCAUUUAACAAUUCAAGAUAGAAAGGGAUUAAGGCCUAAAAAUUUAUAUUUUUAGGCCUUAAUUUAUAUCAAUUUUCUGAAAUUAGUGAUUAUUAUAUUGAUAAUCACUAAUUUUAGAAAAAUGAUAUGGACAAUACAAUUGGAGAAGGCUUCAGAAGAAAAGAGACUGAGUUUAUUAUUUAUGUAUUUUUGUGGUCUUGGGGAGCAAAACUAGGCAGACACUCAGCCACUGAGCUGCAUCCCCAGCCACAGAGCUGAACUUUUGAAAUAGGAGGAUGGAGGAGAGAGAGAGGCUUUCUCACUAGAAGAACUAUAGGAGCAAAUACUUGAGUCAGGAUGCAGAUGUUUGAGGUAGAAUAACUAAUUUGGAAUAGUAAGAAGUGGGGCUGGAUAAGUAGGGAGAGGCACAAUAGGGACAGAAUUUCUGGCUAGUGAUAAGAGUAUAGGAAAUUGGCAGUUCCUGGAGUUUUCUAACCAGAAAAAUGGUAGAAAUACUCAUCAGAGUAUUGAUGCUUUGAGAUAGGAUGAGGGGAAAAACAGAAACAAAAAUGGUCAGGUAGGAAACUUGCUAGAGUGAAGAAUUGAGUUGAAAAAUGCUGAACUGGCAAAGGGCCAGAAGUAAAGCAUUUUAUAGGAAAUGAUGCCAUGGUGUCAAGGAAACCUGAAACUUAAAAGCCAUUCCAAGUGAGGUGACAGACACUCAAAGACAAUAAUUUACCAAUGUUGUGUGACAGCCACUGAAUUAAUGGCAAAUAUGAUUCAUUCUGUAGAGUAAACUUGUUAAUAUAAUUCUGUGCUAGUUUUGCUUGUGAGACACGUUCCUUCCCGGGGAAAAAAACUGUCUCCUAGCUUGGUGUAAUAGACAUUCGCAGGUAUAACAGACAAAACAAAGAGACAUUUUUCUUGAUCAGAAUUUCUUGAACCACUAAUGGAAAAUGCAUACUGUGAGUUUAUCGAAGACAGGAUUUUUGGCUCAUUAAUUUUGAUACUCAUGGUGUCUAAAGUGUUUGUUAAAUGAAUUAAGGCCAAUGACUGAGUAGUUAGAGAAAAAUAUCUAGGCCCAGAAUACCAAGGCAAUAUAGAGCAAAGCAUCCUGAAUGAUUGUAUUAGAUCCCAAACUAUGUAAUAGGACCAGUGGUCUCCAUCCUCAAGUCAAGGGCACUCAGUGUCAAUCUGCAUGGAGGACCCUGAGCCUUGCUAGUUUGUUGCCUUAAUUACUUCUAAAGCAGGGGAGCUAUCAGAUGGGUCCCCAAAUCUGCUUUAUCUCAUUUUUUUAAAAAUAGCUACUUUCUACUUCUUCAAAAUCAUAAAUCUAAUAGUAAAUCUGUUCCACUUAAAAAGCAUCCCAGGAGUUCCAUACCAGAUCAGUCUUCAGGCAAAGGAAAAUAAAUAAAUAAAUAAAUAAACUUCUAGAACUAAACAUCAUCAUAUAUUUUAGUAUCUCUUAUGAAGAAUUGCAUUAGGACAAAAUCAUGUUACAUAUUUGCAUAGUUCCCUGAAAAUUCCUUAAACAGAUAUCAGUUAUGUGCUAAGUUACAUGAACUCAGUUACUUACACAGAACUGAAAAGCAAAACCACUGUGAGAGUUAGAAUCCAUAAAAAUGAUCUCUUUCUUGAAAGAUGAAAAAGUAUAUAAAACAUAAAUAUGUUCUGCACCUCCCUUGUUUCUGAUUUUUUUAAGGUGCCCUUUAAUAACUUGAUAUUUCCUUUGGAUGUGCAAUCUGUGGCAUUCCAUCAAAUCGAAAAUGCAUGAAUUUAGUUAUAUGUAUUUUUGACAUUGAGAGAAAAAGCUUAAAUAGACAGAUGGCCUGGAUUGACAGAAAUAUUGAUGACUUCAGGUGGGCUAUAACAAAACUGAAAUGGUUAACUCAUAUUGUUAGAAACUAUGAUGUAGUUGGGCAUAGUGCCUCAUACCUGUAAUCCCAGUGACUUGGGAACUCUAGACAGAAUUGAAAUUUCAAGGCCAGCCUCGUGAACUUAGUAAGACCCUAAGCAAUUUAGUGAGACCUUGCCCCAAAAUAAAAAAUAAAAAGCACUGGGGGUGUAGCUCAGUGAUAAAGGACCCUUUUGUACAAUCCCCAGAACCAUAAAACAGAACUACUAUGUUUUGGCAGUCUCCAAUACUUACCCAACUUUGAGUUACUUAUGCUACAUAAUAGAGCAAAUUAUUUAGCCAUCUAGAAGCAUUAGUUUUGUAAUACUUUGUCUUAAAGCCAUCAAUAGAAGCUUUCAUGCUCAAAGUUAGAUAUUCUGAGGGUAUUUUUUUUUUGAUGAUUAAAAUAACUGCAUUAGGUAGGUGUUUGUUAACAGUUGUGUCAUAGCUUUUCUAGGCAAAAACAUUCUUAGUUGUGUUCACUGGCAAAACCUUGGAGGUCACAUUGCCCUUAUCUGUAUUAGAAUGGAUCCAAGAUUGUUUUCUGAGGAAAAUCUUGGCCUAGCCCACAAAUAUUUUGUCUAUUUCCUUAACUUUUAUAAAACAUUAACCCUAGUUCUGAUGGCUGCUUGUGCAAAUUUUUGAAAUAAUAGCUCUAGGUUGCUACCACCACUCUCUGCUUUCUAGGCAUGAUCAGACAUGCUCAGUUGUGAGAAGUCAUAUUUAUGCAGAAUUUCCUGAAAACUAUGCACUCUUUGAAGCCAUCUAAAUUUUAUUUUCAGAUUUAAGAAAAACCCUUAGAACUCUCUCUUUGGCUAGUCUUCUUUUGGCUCCCCCUAAUAUUACUUUUACUGGACUGCAGUCCAGGAUCACUCAAACAUUCUAAGUUCAGUGACUGCAGAAGUGGCUGCGGGACCCCCACAACAGUUUUACAGCUGAGACAACUGCUCACUCAUCACACUGUGUUCUUGCACUGAGCACUUGCAGAAAUUCAGUACCACAAAAAACUGUGCUUCCCUUGAGCAACUAGUUUGUUUUCUAAUCUAAUAGGCAUUUUGAAUUAUGUAAUUGAAUGCAGGCUUCCUGUCGUUGUGUUGCUUGUUUAAAAAUUCAGAAACUUACUGCACAUUUUGUGAAUUACUUUUAUCUCAGUUUAUUAUUUUUUUCUACUCUUAGUUUCCCUUUAGCUGGUUACUCCACUGCUUUUAUAUCUUGUACUGUAUAUAUUUCAAUCUUUGGACUAGAAGAAAUAGAAGAAAAUAUAAGACUAAAUCAGUCAUGAUUACAAAUCAUAAAGAUUAAUUUUUGAAAUAAAGUAAGAGUGGGCCCUUGACAAUCUGAGGGAGGUUUUUUUUUCUUACCAUUUAAAAAAAUUAUAUAUGACAGCAGAAUGCAUUACAAUUGUUAUUACACAUAUAGAGCACAAUUUUUCAUAUUUCUGGUUGUAAUCAAAGUAUAUUCACGGCAAUUCAUGUCUUCAUACCUGUACUUUGGAUAAUAAUGAUUAUUACAUUCCACCAUCACUAGUAACCCCAUGCCCCCUUCCUUCCCCUCCAACCCAUCUGCCCUAUCUAGAGUUUGUCUAUUCCUCUGAGGGAGGUUAUUUGAUUUCCUUUUCCUUCACCACAAUUGCACCCCACACUUUCACUAUUUAAAGUGACUCUAAAUGUUAAUUUUAUGAGCAGGAGACUGAUAGAAGAAAAUAAAAUGACUAAAGACUGCAGCCAAGUAAAGACUGCUGAGUUACAGAGAAAUAAAGGAUUGUAUUUCUUUGGGUUGCAAGAAGUAGAAUGUGUUAAAAGUUAGGAAUCGAGGGGUACUAGUUCUAAGAAACUUCUGACUGGGAAGCAGGAAGAAUAGGGCUACUUGUUCAGGGGCUAGACUGAAUAUUUGACUUUGGUAAUAGCUUACCACUGUUGUAGGGACAAACGAGGCAAGGCACCGAAGAUAGCAGGAAACAGUUUUUAUUUGGCUGCAGCCUGGUUCAGAAGGCAUGGCUUUUUCUGGAAUCAAUUAAUCCCCUGAACCUCAAGUUCAGGUAGUUCCAGAGUUUUAUACCCAGCAUGUAAGGGGAGGGGCUCAGAAGUUCACAGUCUGCAAAAGUUCACAUAAAAGCAGCUUUUUCUUUCACUGUUCUGGACAGUGAAAGAAAAAGCUGCUUUUAUGUGAACUUCAAGGACAACACCCUUCAAGGACAAUACCUGAGAAGGGGAGAGCUUCUUCUCCCCUUUCUAUUCUCCCCCUGCUAGCUGUUACCAUGGAGCCCAGUUGAUAACUUUCUUAUCUUAAAAAUGUAGACAUCUUGGCUGGGGAUGUGGCUCAAGCGGUAGCGCGCUCGCCUGGCAUGUGUGCAGCCCGGGUUCGAUCCUCAGCACCACAUACAAACAAAAAUGUUGUGUCCGCUGAAAACUAAAAAAAAAAUAAAUAUUAAAAUUCUCUCUCUCUCUCUCUCUCUCUCUCUCUCUCUCUCACACUCUGUCUUAAAAAAAAAAAAUGUAGACAUCUCUGUGAAGCCCAGUUCAAGUCCAGAGACCUUGUUUGCACAUUUCUUCAAAGUGCUAUACUGGAUAUGUUUGUGAAAAACUAGUAAGGGGGUGUCCAGCACCUGGAGUGCUGGUAUCUUCUCGGCCUGUGGCCAAGUAAACAGGACGGCACAAAAAUAGGAAGUUUAUCUACAUUGAACUCUUUUGCAGAAACUCUUUUGCUGACACUUCUAAAAUCAGACAAGGUGAAGAUUUCUGGAGAAGCCCAGUAAAGACUUUUCAGUGGAGAAAGUGGGUGCCACUUCACCACUACAAAGGACAUGGGGAGUGUCAUGAUAAUAACUACAAAAGGGUGGCAGAGAGCACUGUGAGAGUGUACUGGGGCAGAGUUUUGAGUGACUCCAGAUAACAUGUAAGAAAGCAUACUGUUUCCUUGGUGCUCAGGAAGGUUGAGAACAAGAGAUUUGAGAUAGACCAAGGAUAGUAGCUGGAAUGGUUUGUGAUUAGGUGAGAUAGGAUACUUGGGCAGAAAGAGAAUGCAACCAGGAGGAGAAGCCUUAUUUCUCUAGGAAUUAGGGGAGAGAAAGAUUGGACAGAAGAGAGCUGAGAUCUGGCAGUGGGCCUGAGGACCCAGAGCAGAAGAAACCCUCGGGAACACUUGGCACUUAACUAGGUCCCAGCACAUUAGUAUGUAUUUGAAACUUUGUCACAAUGAUAAAGCUGAAUCAGACUGAACCUGUGUCUAUGCUGUUGUGACCACCUGCUAGUGGUUUUUCUCUUGACAUGGCCCCACAGCUUUUCCUUGAGCUGGAGGGAUCUGCCUUUGGAAGUAAUUCCCUGUGGAGGAGAAAAAAAGAGAUGAAUGGCCACACCAUAUAAUCAAACCAUAAUACUUCUUUUUGUGUGUUGCACAUACUGUUUGCCAGGAAAUCUCUUAUAUUCUUCUUUACCUUCUUCAUCAUCUAAAUCUUAGCUUUAAAGCUAUCCCUUUAGAGGUUAGGUCUCCUUACAGAGCUAAAACAUUCAUAAUCAUUAAAUACCUAAAGGAUUCUGGUGGCUGUGCUUCUGUCUGCCAACCAAAUAAAAAUAAAAGCAUGAAACAAAUAAACAUUUAUCUAUUUUUUUGAGAUAGCAUACAACAAAAUGUAUAUGUAUCUUGAAUAACUUCUUCCUAGAUUUUCUUCAACUCUGUGAUCUCAUUCUGUCUCCUCACACAUGCUGUCCUGUGCUCACUCUUUCUCUGCCUCUUUCUGAGUCUUGCUUUGCUGGUGCCCCAGGCAAGUGCUGAAUUUUCCAACCAGGUCAUUCUGUACUUUCCCCCAUUAAACAUUCCCACAGUGCCCUGUACUACAAGUACUUUGCACAUUGGUAAUCAUGACACUGUUUACUGUGGUCUCUCUUUAAUGUCUGUCUUUCCCAAGAGACUCUUCCAUACGGCAGGGACUUUUCAUCAGUUUGUAAAGUUCAUGAAGAGCACAAAUAUGUGUUUGCUUGACUUGGUAUCCUAUAAAAAGUAAACAACUUUUAAGUGACCAGAGGAGAAAUCAAGGAAUCUUCUAGAACGAUAAACUGGAUUUUUAUGAAUAUAGGGGAUAAAAGAAGAUGAAAACAAUGAGGUGAGAAGACCAAAUGAAAUGAGGUGUUUUCCUGUGCAAGAUUAAUUCAAAGUCUUUACACUCUACUUAAUAUUGUAUUUCUGGUGAGGUAAAUUAGUUUCCUCUAGAUAAUUUAUAUUAAAAUACAAUGUAGAUCUGUAUAUAUUUAUUAUUAGAGUUAAUAAAUAAUGUAGUAAUAUAUUUACUAUUGACAGUUUUAUAAGAUCCAUUCAUAAAAUCAUAGUAAACCUUUUCCUAGUCUGGUGUCCAGAAUAUUAGACUGUAGUCCUCCUUUAUACCGUCAGCCCUUCUGCCACAUUUAUUCAACAAAUAUUUGCUGAACAUUUAGCACAUGUCAGUCAUUGUGCCUGGUACCCAGGUGAAUAGUCCCAUAGGCCUUGCCCUCAAGAAAUUGACAGUUCAAGAUCAGUGGGUACUAAGUUACAGUAAGGAGCAACAAAUUCUGGGGUGCUAUUGCCUGGUAGGAGGAAUAUAGUUAAUAAUUAUGUACCAUACAUUUCAAAAAGCUAAAAGAAAAGAUUUUAAAUGUUUAAAAUGUUCACUAUAAAGAAAUGAUGUGAGGAAAUAGAUAUGUCUAACCUGAUUUAAACAUUACACUAUGUAUGUACAUGUACUGAAACAUUAUAUGAUAUUCCAUUCAUAUCUAUAACUUUUAUUUUUAUGUGCCAGUUUAAAAUAUAUUAAAAAAAGAAGUAGCUUAUAGUUCCAGAUCAAAGGUACUACCCCAGAGUACAAUAAAAAUAUAGACAAAAGUAUUCAGAAGGACUGUAUUUGAACUAUGUAGGAAAGUACAGUUUUUAUAGAAUAAAGAAAGUCUGUAAGAUAAAGUUUAGAUAUUCUUAGUUCUGACACCUUCACCUUAAGAUGUAUUUGUUUCCUGACCAGGUCCUCAAAUAUUCACCUAAGACAUGGUAACUUUGGGGGAUGGAAUAAUGCUUCUUGCUAAUCAGCAUAGACAACACCCAGUGAUCUUGCAUGAAGAAACAUCCUGUUGUGAAAAGUUGGUUUCAACCUUUCUCCCCUGCAAGCAAUUGUCUUUAUUUCAUCAUUCAGACUGAGUCUUUUGAAAGCUCAUAAAUCAACAGAAGCCAGAAAAUUACAAAUGCACACUGUAUGUUUAAUAAUAGUGCACAAUCUGAUUACUGUAAGUACAAUUUUAAAUUUUUUCUGUUCAAACAGUUUAUGUGAAUAGCAACUUCUAUUUUCUUAGACUUACUUGAGUGGAAAAAAAUCCCUUUGAAGCUACAACAGAACUUGUGGUACAAUAUUGAUUAAUUGGUAAUGCAAAUUAGCUUGUGCCUACCAUCAGAACGUGGAAAAAUAUAUUUGAGUCUGAAAGUAAGACCCUCAGUUCUGUCUGUGCACUUCCUUAGUUGGUUGAAACUCUCAAAUAUACCUCCCUUUUAACAGCGGUAAAGGUUGUUUUACCUUAUGGAAUAAAAAAAAAAAAAGAUAAGUUGACCUUUUCCAUUUUAUCUGAAAGAAAGUGCUUAAGAAGAAAAUACUGUUGAUUUUAGUUGUCAGUAAACUUAUUGUUUCACUUCAUCUCAGCAACAUUUUCCAAACCACUAAACCACUAAAUGUUCACUGGAGACUUUCAGGUCAUGGCAAGAUGACAUAGUAAUUUGGUGCUUAAUUGAUUUAAUAUUGAGUGCCAAGAAACAAUUGAGGCUCAACCCACAAACCCCAAAUCCAUUACAUUAUCCUAUUUUGAAUGUUUAAAAAAAUAAGUAGAAGAUUUUAAAAUAGCCACUUCAUUUUAGGCUCUAUAAUGAUAGUAUGUGAAAUUAUUAAGUUGUAUAGUAUUACAGAGCUUUCAGAAGACUCAGAUUUGAGCUGAUGUAUUUCAUAAGGAAAAAUUCUUAUUUGCUUGCUAAUUUACCUGAAGAUAUUCAUCUCUAAUGUGUACUCCCAGAAAUGUAAAAAUGUUCCAUCGCAUUUCAAAUUAUCAGUAGCAGUUAAUUAAGGUUCAAAUUGCUUUGAGGAUGCUAAAAUUGAUUUUAUCAUUUUUGUCAAUUUCUUUUUAUUGUGCCAUUCCUGGGUUUAUGCCAAUAAUUUGUCAGAUGCAAUUACAUUUGUGAAUUUAAUUUUCUUUUGCACUGUAUGGCAAACUAGGUAUAUUCCCAUAUUACUAGGUGUUUUAUAGGAGUUACUCUUGAUUUUCCUUAAAAUUAUUUACUGGUUUUUCAUAUUAUUUCCCAUGAUGUCAUUUACUCUCAUAAUAUGAAUGUGGCAAUCAUUUUAGUAGUUAGAAAAGCUAUAACAAUGCAAAUAUGUACUUGGCCUUCAUUGGUCUUUAAUCCACUACUGCCAAUUUAAUCUACAUACCAGACAUUAAAUAACAACAGAAUUAAUAACAAUAAUACCUACUAUUUAUUGAACACUUACUAGGCCCUAAUCCCUGAACUUAAUACAUUGUCUUAAUUAACCUUCUUUGUAACCUGAGGAUGGCACAGUUUCUAUCUACCAUAUGGCCAAAGUGGUUGUUAAAACACUGAAGUACUUUUAUUGUGGUAGUGAAGAGCUGAUGUCCCAAGCUCCCCAAGUGUCCUUUGUACCUUUUUUCUCCAAUUUCCCAUCUUUUCUCCUGGGGAUCUCUCCAUCUUGUCCUCCCCAAAUCCUGAAACUAGAGGAUUAACAAUGGCAUGGCAGAGACCCUCUGUGACCUCUGCUCUAGCAGCCAGACUUCGUUCUGAUGUGUUGGUACCCAAGCUGUUCCAGUAGUUAAAUAUUGUGGUUAUUAGCAAAGAUGUAGAUACUAUCAUUACUGUUCUGCAGGAGGGAAAACUCAUAUAAAUAUGUAAAAGUUCAUCAGUUUGCCCAAGAUUGCCCACCUAGAAAGUGUCAGAUCCAGGACUCAAACCUAGGUCUCUCUCAAGUUAAAAUCCUUGCUCUUUUUUUGGGGGGUGGGGGUGGAGAAGUACCAGGAAUUGAACUCAGAGGUACUCAACCCUGAGCCACAUCCCCAGCCCUAUUUUGGAUUUUAUUUAGAGAUAGGGUCUCACUGAGUUGCUUAGCAUCUCCCUUUUGCUGAAACUGCUUUGAACUUGUGAUCCUCCUGUCUCAGCCUCCCAAGCUGUUGGGAUUACAGGCAUAAACCACAUCGCCUGGCAAAAUCCUUGCUCUUAACUAGUAUAGUGGACUAAAAAAUAGAGAAAACCAGCCGGUGAUUAGUGUUGACUUCCCAGGCCCCAACAUGGAUAGCUAUCUACUCUGACUACUUGUACAAUGAAUUUUAAAUUUAAUUAUGUUUUUCAUUAGGUUCUCAGCCAUAAUAAUGAGCAUGCAAGUACUAGGUUGAUAAUGGAUACUUUGCAUUAUUCCACCAGCAUCCUGUAUUUACUAAUUUAGCCCAUGUUGUAUUUUGCAAAAAUGUCUCCAUAGGUAGAAAUUACCUUCUUUAUUCAUCCCUUUUAAAAACAUUUUAAAAUGUUAUUGUAUUUUUAUACAUUUAUUUUAUUUAUAUAUUUUUAUGUGGUUCUGAGGAAAGAACCCAGUGCCUCAUAUGAGCUAGGCAAGUGCUCCACUACUGAGCUACAAUCACAGCCCCUAUUCAUCCCUUUUUGGAUGAUGCCCCCUAUUCAGACAAAUGAUUAAACACACCAAAAAUGGUAAAUUACAAACUUAACAUUUUUAUAUACUUUUAAACUUUAUUUACUUUUAUAUAAUUUUAAUAUCCCAAAUCCAAGUAUCAUAGGCUGAAACCCCUUAGCAUUAUAUUUCGCUUCUUCUCUCUUAUCUACCUUUUCUUUCUUUCCAUUGUUAAUAAAAAACCCAGUGCAAAAAUAAAAAAACCUAGCCUUCAUAUGGACAUUAUGAAGAUCCAUAAUGUCCAAGUCACUUAUAUAACUCCAUCCUUAGUAUCAGAGAAAAUUCUAAUUCUAUUAGCAUGUGUUGUAUAUUUUUUAAAGGCAGUUAGACCAACAGGUGAAUCAAAAAGUCUGCUGUCUACAAAGCACAUUUUUAUUUAGCAAAUUGCAUCAGUGCUCUGAGAACUGGAUAUACCACAUCUAUCUGCCAAAGCAGAAAAAUUUGACAAGGGAUGCAGAAAUACUUCAGGUAUGGUGAAAGAAAUGAUAGGUUUUAUGUGUAGGUGAUGUAUGGAGUGCAGAAAUUAUAAGACCUCUCCAAGGUUGGCCUAUCUGACAUUAGGGACAGGGCUAACAUGUCUUAAUGGAGGCCUAGCAUGACAACCAAAGGCAUACUGGAUCUUUCUCUGGGCAGCAUAUGUGUAUUUCUUGCUAUAAUAUUAUGAAAUAUCAUAAAUGAAGGUUUGUCCUUCAUUUCUCGACAAAUAUCUUUAUAUAUCUAGAAUCUCCAAAGUGACACAUAUCUUUUGUGUGCUAAUCAGAUGACUGGUGGCUGGAGUUUCCUCCUUAGCCUCAGGAUGGGGGCUGUUUGCCAGGGGCACAAACCUUGCAAUUAGAAGGUUGGAGCUUACAGUACCUCCACCUAACCUAGGGGAGGGGAAAAGGGCUGAGGGUUGAAUUGAUAAACCAAUAGUUAAUGAUUUGAUCAAUCAGCUUACUUAAUGAGAUGUCCUUGAAAAAAAAAAAGAGGAAAGAACUGAGUUCUGAGGGCUUUCUGAUAGCUGAACAAUGGAGGUCCCAGAAGGUGAUAUUUCUAGAGAUGGCAUGGAAGCUCUAGGCCCCUUCUCCCAUAUCUUGCCUUAGGCAUCACUUCCCUCUGUUUAUCUGUUUCCUUUUUACUAUCCCUAAUAAUAAACCCAUAAAUGAAAGUAUGUUCCCCUAUCAUAGGCAAGUAGAUUGCCACACUGGCAAAUAGAUUGGACCCAAGGAGAGUACCAUGGGAACCCUGAUUUGCAACUAGUUGGUCAGAAAAACAGGCCAUAAUCUAUGCUUAUGAUUGGAGUCUGAGGUGCUUGGCAGUCUUCUGGGACUGAACCCUCAACCUAUGGGGUCUUCCUCUAUUUCCAGGCAGAUAGUGUCAAAAUUGAAUUGAAUUAGAGGAUAGCCAGCUGGUAUCUACUGGAGAAUACACUGGAGAAGUGUUUGGUGUUGUGUAUUGGGGAGGACCCCAACAUCUAGGGUCACAGAAAUGUUCCAUGCUGUGAAGGUAUAAUGGGAGAAACUCAAAGUUUGUUUUAUUCUUAUAGCCUUUCACUUACUGGCUCAUUUGAAUUUGCAGUGGGCAUGGAUAUGUCUAAGACUUCUGGGACCAGCAGAAGAGUCAGCCAGCAGCAGCACCAAGCAACCUUACCCCAAAGCAGCAGCAGGGAUGAGAUUACCUGGUGUCUCUCCUGGGCCCUGAGCAACACCUGGGGCCCCAAGGUUGUGACCACACAGUUCUCUGAUGAUGUUUAAUCCUGGGACUUUCAGUAACAUUUAGGAAGAGAUACAGCCUGCCCCUGCAUUACCUUUCCACAGGUUAAAGGUGGAUGAAGGAAGAUCUGAGCUCCGAGAGCUGUAAGAACAAGACCAAAGCUUGACUUUUUCGUUGUCUUUCUGCUCAAAGGGAUCAAAAUUAGGGAGCAGUGGGCUGGGGUUGUAGCUCAGUGGUACGGUGCUUGCCUAGCACACGUGAGGCCCUGGGUUCAAUCCUUAGCACCACAUAAAACUGAAAUAAAGGUAUUAUGUCUACCUAUAACUAAAAAAUAAAUAUUAAAAAAGAAAAUUAGGGAGCAGUGAAAGCAGGAGCUCUUGUGGUUGCUGAGGACUGGAGCUAGCAGUGUGAGAAUCCCCUGAGGCCCUGACGGAAGGUGGAAGAAACUUGGAAGGGGAGGGCUGAAUCUCCACAAAGUACCUUAGAGAACCUAAGCCCAGGAGGCUUGUGUUAUCUUUAUUUAUUUUCAGUUAUCUUUAUUUAUUUUUUCCUAGGAACCCGGGAAUUGUCUUCAAAACAACAAAAAAAAGUUACCCAAGUUUUGAGAAGUUCUGUUCUCCUUAAAUCCACUCUCUGAAACUGAAUGGUGGAGUCAUUUAAUAGUAGUCAGGAAGAUACUGUCAGAAUGGUGAGGGGCCUCUCCCCUGCUCAUGGAAGGCCAUCAUGUUUUUACAAGUGCAGCCAACACUUCAACACAUUUAUUAAGUACCUACUGUGUAUUAGGAGCUGUAUUUUUCAUGACCAUAGUUCAAGGGAGAGGGGGAAAGGGAGGGCUACAUCACCUUGGGAACAGAUGGUUAACUUCUGGAUGUCAUCUCUGCACCCACCAUUAUGUUCACAUACUGUAGCUGAAAUGGGACCUGGUGUGCAUUCUGCCCACUAGUAAGAAUGUGCUAAUUUUGAAAUGGAAAAGUUCUGCUUGACAUUUGUCAGUGAAGAGAUUACUUAGAGAAGACUUAGAGAAAUCACUGCUUCAUAGAGGCCUGUCCAGGCAGGAUUAGAAAACCUGUUUCACCAUAUUUUGAAGUUUAUCAAACAGGAUAUUCAAUUUAGCAAAUUUCCUAACAAACUGACAUGAAAUCAGAAAUCUAUUUUAUUAAUUUACAGUGAGAAAGAAAACUUCCCAGGAGUUAGAAAGCCUAUUGUUUAAUUUCUCUUCCUCUUAUUCUCACUGAACACAAACCAAAAUAAGCCCAACUUUCAGAAGAUACCUAGAAGAAGAGGAGGUAUUUAUGCAAGUGUUGUAUUUAAUGCCAUCAUGUUAAUAGAGCCAAGUACAUGCAUUUCUGCUCCAAGGAUUACCACAAAGUAGACCAGAUAUUUGCAGAAACUAGAUGGGUUCGUUUCUUUGAGAUAACAGUUAACUGGGCUUUGAAUCUCUUUUUCCCUGUUUCUGUGACUGAUCAGAUAUCUACCAUUCUUAUCUUCAAUAUGUCAGUUAGGUGGUAGUCUAUUUUGUUUCUUUAAGAUAACUUUGUUCAUCUCUGUUGAUUUUGACCCUUUUGACCAGAUGAUGAUAUCAUUUCCCAGUCUUCAGGAUACCUCUUUAUUCGAUGUAUUUCCUCCCAUGUACUUUUUAUAAGAGUGAUUACUGAGCUUUUAGCUACUUCUUACUCUUUUCUAAAAAAUAUAUAUUUCUUAGGUAUAGGUGGACAGAAUGUCUUCAUUGCUGGGAGCCAUUAGCCAAGUAGGUAUGACAAUUUCCUUGCCAGUGUACCCCAUGUUGCUUAGUGGAAGGACUCGUGGAAAUAGGACAUUUUGCAGUGACAUUGCAUCUAAGGUGACCUUGCUCAAGGACCAGGGCGGAUCCGGGUUUAGGGUGUUCCCGAUUUAGGACAAUCCGGGUUUAGGGUGGUUCCAGGUUUAAGGUUAUUCCUGCUGGGAAUAGGGCGUAUCCUGCUGCCUGAGUUCCCCUUGAGUUCUCACGGGAUUCAGACAGUAUUUUUUGGGAGACAGAAGCCCAGUGGGGGUGGAUUUGGGCAGAGAACGUGGAUUUCCCCAGAACGUGAUUGUAGACGGCUGGUGUGAGUUCGGGAAUAAAGAGUUGCUGUUUGAAUCUACAA
Molecule: long non-coding RNA, 15698 nt
Organism: Marmota monax (woodchuck)
Lineage: Eukaryota; Metazoa; Chordata; Mammalia; Rodentia; Sciuridae
Exons: 2
Source: RefSeq, a predicted model, not a curated record